This 804-nucleotide ribosomal RNA is filed under the name uncultured bacterium. Its description in RNAcentral is "bacterial SSU rRNA". It matches the Rfam family "Bacterial small subunit ribosomal RNA", at positions 94 to 901 of the family's 1533-position model. The record is from RNAcentral.
ACCGGCGCACGGGUGCGUAACGCGUAUGCAAUCUACCUUUUACAGAGGGAUAGCCCAGAGAAAUUUGGAUUAAUACCUCAUAGUAUUAUAGAAUGGCAUCAUUUUAUAAUUAAAGUCACAACGGUAAAAGAUGAGCAUGCGUCCCAUUAGCUAGUUGGUAAGGUAACGGCUUACCAAGGCUACGAUGGGUAGGGGUCCUGAGAGGGAGAUCCCCCACACUGGCACUGAGACACGGACCAGACUCCUACGGGAGGCAGCAGUGAGGAAUAUUGGACAAUGGGCGCAAGCCUGAUCCAGCCAUGCCGCGUGCAGGAUGACGGUCCUAUGGAUUGUAAACUGCUUUUAUACGAGAAGAAACACUGCUUCGUGAAGCAGCUUGACGGUAUCGUAAGAAUAAGGAUCGGCUAACUCCGUGCCAGCAGCCGCGGUAAUACGGAGGAUCCAAGCGUUAUCCGGAAUCAUUGGGUUUAAAGGGUCCGUAGGCGGUUUAAUAAGUCAGUGGUGAAAGCCCAUCGCUCAACGGUGGAACGGCCAUUGAUACUGUUAAACUUGAAUUAUUAGGAAGUAACUAGAAUAUGUAGUGUAGCGGUGAAAUGCUUAGAGAUUACAUGGAAUACCAAUUGCGAAGGCAGGUUACUACUAAUGGAUUGACGCUGAUGGACGAAAGCGUGNGUAGCGAACAGGAUUAGAUACCCUGGUAGUCCACGCCGUAAACGAUGGAUACUAGCUGUUGGAAGCAAUUUCAGUGGCUAAGCGAAAGUGAUAAGUAUCCCACCUGGGGAGUACGUUCGCAAGAAUGAAACU